Cordylochernes scorpioides is the source of this 67-nucleotide non-coding RNA. The record is from the annotation of a GenBank genome assembly. NCBI's taxonomy places the organism in Eukaryota, Metazoa, Arthropoda, Arachnida, Pseudoscorpiones, Chernetidae.
GGCCCUAGUGGACAUGGCAUCUGCCCGGUAAGCGGAACACUGUGGGUUCGAUUCCCAUCCCUGGACA